UACUCCCGCCGGCGACCGGCGCACGGGUGAGUAACACGUAUGAAACCUGCCCGUAGCAGGGGGAUAAGCGGAAGAAAUUCCGUCUAAUACCGCGUAACAACCCGAGGAGGCAUCUCCUCGGGUUUAAAGGAAGCGAUUCCGGCUACGGAUGGUCAUGCGUCGCAUUAGCUAGUUGGCGGGGUAACGGCCCACCAAGGCGACGAUGCGUAGGGGUUCUGAGAGGAAGGCCCCCCACACUGGUACUGAGACACGGACCAGACUCCUACGGAAGGCAGCAG
RNAcentral lists this ribosomal RNA (278 nucleotides) under uncultured bacterium. Its description in RNAcentral is "partial 16S ribosomal RNA". It matches the Rfam family "Bacterial small subunit ribosomal RNA", at positions 80 to 354 of the family's 1533-position model. The record is from RNAcentral.